UGAAACUCUUUUGUGCAGCUUACAACUACAGUUCCCCCGUCCCGCGUUGUGGCUCCUGCUGUGUGGACGUGGACAUCCGUUAAGCCCUGCGACAGGAGCCCUCACCUGCCCACUGUCCCGAGGGGAGUACCUACAUGCCCUCUGAUGUGCGGGACUGUCUCCUCGCCUGGGCACACACAGCACCUGUGUCGGGGCAUCUGGGUAUAGCCUGUACUAUCGAGUGUCUCUCCUCCAAGUACUGGUGGCCCACCUUGGCUCAGGGGUUUACAUCUAUUCAUGCUCCACCUGCGCAGAGAGCAAGACACCGAGAUGCCUCCCCUAUGGCAAACUCCACCUGCUGCCGGUUCCCCAACGAACCUGGUCCCAUCUCUCCGUGGACUUUGUCACAGACCGUCCCCCCUCGGAGGGCACACCACCAUCCUGGUCGUUGUGGACCGGUUUUCCAAAGCCUGUCGUUUGAUUCCUCUGCCUAUUCUCCCUACGGACAUGCAGACCGUGGAGGAUCUCUUCUCUCAUGUCUUCCGGCACUACGAGAUUCCGGGGGACAUUGUGUCUGACCGUGUGGUCCUCAGUUCACCUCCCAUGUCUGGAAGGCCUUCAUCGAACGACUGGGUGUCACGGUCAGCCUCACCUCUGGGUACCGUCCCCAAUCAAAUGGGCAGGUGGAAAGGUCAGGAACUGGUGUGUUCUAGGCCAUCAGCCGGCCCUGGCACCCUGGCACUGGAGUCAGAUAGAGGCUCCUGCGGUGGACGAAUUGGUUCCAGCGCGCCGAGGAGGUAUGGAACACAGCGCACACCCAUCUCCAGCACGUCGUCAAUUACCGUCUCUCACCCUCAUUUCAUGUAUGUCCCUUGGCAAGUGCUGGACUCCACGACGCACCUCCCCCUCCCUUGGACGGCGAGGGGGCCCACGGCGUAGCCUGUCCGCAGCCUGUUGGACUCACGGCGUUGUGAGGGGUCUCUCCAGUACCUGGUCGACUGGGAGGGGUACGGUCCCGAAGAGCGGUGCUGGGUUUCGGCGCGGGACGUCCUAGACCGGUCUCUCAUUCGGGACUUCCACAGGCGUCGGGCUGAUUGACCUCCCCCUCCUGUCCAGCUCAGGCGUUCAGCAUCGCUGGCUUUCUAGUUGCUGCCGAACCUGCUACUGGCAAACGCCAUUCACUCGUCAAUCCCGGACUUGUCACGUCAUCAUUACACACACCUGGCUCCAAUUCCCACUCCAUCACUGUAUAUAUAUUGGACACUGUGCUAUCUAACCUCCAAACGAGGUUAGAUAGCCUCCAAACGAGCUUCAAUGCCAUACAACACUCCUUCCGUGGCCUCCAACUGCUCUUAAACGCUAGUAAAACCAAAUGCAUGCUUUUCAACCGAUCGCUGCCUGCACCCGCAUGCCCGACUAGCAUCACCACACUGGAUGGUUCCGACAUUGAAUAUGUGGACACCUAUAAGUACCUAGGUGUCUGGCUAGACUGCAAACUCUCCUUCCAGACCCAUAUCAAACAUCUCCAAUCGAAAAUCAAAUCAAGAGUCGGCUUUCUAUUCCGCAACAAAGCCUCCUUCACUCACGCUGCCAAGCUUACCCUAGUAAAACUGACUAUCCUACCGAUCCUCGACUUCGGCGAUGUCAUCUACAAAAUUGCUUCCAACACUCUACUCAGCAAACUGGAUGCAGUUUAUCACAGUGCCAUCCGUUUUGUCACUAAAGCACCUUAUACUACCCACCACUGCGACUUGUAUGCUCUAGUCGGCUGGCCCUCGCUACAUAUUCGUCGCCAGACCCACUGGCUCCAGGUCAUCUACAAGGCCAUGCUAGGUAAAGCUCCGCCUUAUCUCAGUUCACUGGUCACGAUGGCAACACCCAUCCGUAGCACGCGCUCCAGCAGGUGUAUCUCACUGAUCAUCCCUAAAGCCAACACCUCAUUCGGCCGCCUUUCGUUCCAGUACUCUGCUGCCUGUGCCUGGAACGAAUUGCAAAAAUCGCUGAAGUUGGAGACUUUUAUCUCCCUCACCAACUUCAAACAUCUGCUAUCUGAGCAACUAACCGAUCGCUGCAGCUGUACAUAAUCUAUUGGUAAACAGCCCACCCAUUUUCACCUACCUCAUCCCCACAGUUUUUAUUUAUUUACUUUUCUGCUCUUUUGCACACCAAUAUCUCUACCUGUACAUGAUCAUCUGAUCAUUUAUCACUCCAGUGUUAAUCUGCAAUAUUGUAAUUAUUCGCCUACCUCCUCAUGCCUUUUGCACACAUUGUAUAUAGUAUAAAGAGUCCCCCUUUUUUUCUACUGUGUUAUUGACUUGUUAAUUGUUUACUCCAUGUGUAACUCUGUGUUGUCUAUUCACACUGCUAUGCUUUAUCUUGGCCAGGUCGCAGUUGCAAAUGAGAACUUGUUCUCAACUAGCCUGCUUGUUUUCCUGAGAGGAAUCUCUUCUACUAUUUCUUGAGUACUUUAUUAUUUUGCACUUUGGGUUUUGUCCCGCUUUUAUAUAUGUUGCUUUAAUAAAUUCAGUAGUUCUAAACCUG
Long non-coding RNA from Oncorhynchus nerka (sockeye salmon), 2520 nucleotides. RefSeq lists it as uncharacterized. Lineage: Eukaryota; Metazoa; Chordata; Actinopteri; Salmoniformes; Salmonidae. The transcript is spliced from 2 exons. The record is from RefSeq and is a predicted model, not a curated record.